GAUCAAUGUGUAAAUGGUGGAAAAACAGUGAUGUAAGGAUCUCAGCAACAGAAAAUGCACCUCCGAUAUGUCCCGUUUGACCAGAAUAAACCAUACGUAAAACUUGAAUUCGAUACUCCUGUGCUUUCUUAGAGAUGUCGUAAAUAAGUUCUUCUGGGUGAAAAUGCAUGAUUUUUCCUCUUUCUUGAGAAAUUUCGCGACUCAAGAAUGAAUGUAAGGUAUGG
RNAcentral lists this ribosomal RNA (224 nucleotides) under uncultured eukaryote. Its description in RNAcentral is "partial small subunit ribosomal RNA". The record is from RNAcentral.